GUGUGCUGUCCGAGGAAAUAAAACUCGCGCCGAUCACCUGACUCACUGGAGUCUACUCCCGGACGUACAGUACGUUAGGUGCAGCAUGUUUAGUAUAUUUCAAAUAUAUGUAACACCACAAGAACAUUUUAGAAAUGCGUCAUUUUAGAAUGUCAAGGAUAAAAUAAUUUAAAAAAAAAUGUAAUUAAUUAAUAAGUGUAGGGGGUCACGUGAUUGCGCGAAAGCUUGUGUGACGUCACAGAGUUGUAGAAGUAGUAUAAAAGGCAGACGCUCAAACUUCGAACGAGACAGUUCAGAAGAUUGUUGUGAGUGAGAGCAAGUGUAGAGAAUCGACAGAAAGUGGUUACUGACUGAGACGCUUUAGUCGACACGCAGUGUACAGAAAAAGUCUAUUCAGACUAUUCAGUUUUACACACGGUUUAUAGCAUAAUCACGAAGCAUGUCCAAGACAUCUGUGUUUCUCGCGGAGUGCGGUGAAGUUAAGAGAGAAGCUAAGGAUAGGCUGGGGAUGAUCAGCCUUACCUCACACGUAAUGUCCGAUUCACAUAGCAUCAAAGACGUGGCAACUUACAAAAAAUCUGUUGAGACAAUAACAGGAGAUUCAGGGCAAGUUAGCUCAGAUAAUCAAGUUGGCAUGAAGGCUUGUCCUACAGGCAGUGUGGAGAACAGCCCAACAGAAAAACCUUCAAAAGGGAAGAAGGGGAAAGAAGUCUGUGGUGUCUUCCGGAGGGUAUGGAAGGCUGUAAAGCGCCCUUUCAAUUGCUGCAACCCAAACAGAGUGGUGUGUCUUACGCCACAGCUGGACCUAGACGGUUCAGAGCUAAUGCCCACCCCAAGUCCCCCAAGAAUCACACCAGUGGCAGACAACGAUCCUGCCGACCCUGAGCUGGUGUGUCUGCCAGGCCAGGUCUGUGAAGAUCUUGAGUUGUCAUGUGUGCCAGGUCCCUCCAGGGCUGAGCAAACAGUGGACGAAGAUCUGGCCGAUCCGGAGUCGCCUGUGGCAGAUCCGUCUAGUUCUGACCUGGGUGACGAAAAAACUAAAAAGGGGAGUAAAAAGAAUGCAGUCCAUGCAUUCUUCCGGAGAUGCCGUAAGGCUGUAAAGCACUUCUUCCUCUGCCGCGAGUCAAACUCCGUCCAAGUUCCAUCUGAGAUGAAGUCAGUAGAUGACCCCAUCCAUGUUGAGCCUGAGCCAUGCUGUCUGAUCAGUUCUGACCAGGUCAGCGCAGCUCUUCAUUCCUCCACGUCUGUGCAUGAAACCGACACCGAUCAAGCCGUAUCGAUGCAUGCGUCAGAUUCAUCAGAUUCAGAGAUCAGUCUGUAUUGUGGAUCUAGAGUGUCUCUCUUUCUGGUGGGAGAUAUGAUAGGAUAUGGAAGUUUUGGCAAGGUGUAUGAGGGAACCCACAUAUUUAACGAUAGAAUUAAGGUCGCCAUGAAGUACAUCCACAAGCACAAAACUGACCGCUAUCUUGACAUUGUUGGUCAUUCCAAACCUGUAAUUGCAGAAGUGGCAAUGUUGCUUAAGUUGGGAGAAGCUCCAUUAUGUCCCAACAUCAUCAAAUUAUACCACUGGAUUGAGAAUAAGAAGAGCUUUGUGCUCAUUAUGGAGUACCCGCAUCCAUGCAUUACCUUGCAUCAGUACAUCACAUAUUCAGACGACAUGAAUGAAGGAAAAGCAUGCUGGUUUAUCCGUCAGUUAGUCCAAGCUGUGAAACACUGCGUUAAACAUGGAGUCUUCCAUGGUGACAUCCACACGGGGAACAUGCUGGUGACUGACUACAGUUUGGAGCUCAAACUAAUUGACUUUGGUUGUGCUCAUCCAAUCAGCAGUGAGGGCCUUCUCAGCAGUCUAUAUCGAGGAGCACCACUCUUCACCCCACCUGAGGUCAUAAGGCAUACCAAAUUCGAUGCUGAGCCAGCAUAUGUCUGGGCAAUAGGUGUUGUGCUGUUUGAAAUCUUGCACGGGUAUUUGCCAUUUGGAAGCAAAGACGAAAUACUGCGUGACUAUGUUAAAGCGAAACCGACUUUAUCCUCAGCAUGCCAUGACCUGAUUUUCCAGUGUUUGAACCGCAAUCCAGCAAACAGGCUAAUGCUACAGAAUCUAGAAGAGCACAGGUGGUUUAAGAACUAGAUUGCAAGAAGACAGCGGAUCCCAUGACUAAGAUAGAUUAGAAAAGAAAAACUUGCAAAAGGGAGAAGUGGGAAAGAAGUCUGUGCUCUUUGUCAGAAAGUAUGGAAGGAUGUAAAGCUGUGAUGGUGAUGGGAGGUCUUACACCACAGCCGGAUCUAGACGGUUCAGAGCAAAUGCCUGCCCCAAGUCCUUUCAGAAUCACACCAGUGGCUGACACACGUCCUGCCGACCCUGAGCUGAAAAGGAAGGAAGCCAAUGCAUUCUACCGGAGAUUCCUUAAGGCCGUAAAGCACCUCUUCCUCUGCUGCAACUCGAACAGAUUCUGAGACAAUACCUGUUCAAGUCCCCUCUGAGAUGAAGUCAGCAGAAGACACAUGCCUGUUGAUCCUCAGCCAGACUGUCUGAGCAGAUCUGUGCAGAACUUCAGUCCCCGUCUGUGCAAGCGGCUGACGCAGAUCCAGCCACACCAGAGAUGUUGCCUGUGUCAAAUUCAUCAGCGUCAUCUG
Molecule: RNA transcript, 2634 nt
Organism: Carassius auratus (goldfish)
Lineage: Eukaryota; Metazoa; Chordata; Actinopteri; Cypriniformes; Cyprinidae
Gene name: serine/threonine-protein kinase MARK2-like
Exons: 10
Source: RefSeq, a predicted model, not a curated record